RNAcentral lists this long non-coding RNA (323 nucleotides) under Serinus canaria (Common canary). RNAcentral describes it as "lncRNA (ENSSCAG00000012288.1)". Lineage: Eukaryota; Metazoa; Chordata; Aves; Passeriformes; Fringillidae. The record is from RNAcentral.
CAGAGCUGUGUCGACCUCCUGGCUCUCCCAUCAUAAGGGAGACAGGUCCCAGCUCUGCUCCUUCAUGUUCCCAGAAUAAACCCGUGUCUGCAGAACUGGAGACCACCCUGCUGUAAGUACUGCACCAUCCACAUGCCCCUUCCAGAGAAAGGCUGAGAAAAGACCCAGUAAGUCCCUGAAGGACUUGUAAAGGAGAGCCAAGACAUCAGCAGUGUGCAAGGGCAGAGAGGACAAGCAGCAACCCCGGGGCCAGGGGACCUGUUGGAGCUGUGGAUCAGGACUCUGAGAGAAUAUUGUGCAGGCAGUAUUGCAGUGCUUCUUGC